RNAcentral lists this ribosomal RNA (443 nucleotides) under uncultured bacterium. Its description in RNAcentral is "partial 16S ribosomal RNA". It matches the Rfam family "Bacterial small subunit ribosomal RNA", at positions 338 to 795 of the family's 1533-position model. The record is from RNAcentral.
CCUACGGGAGGCAGCAGUGGGGAAUCUUGGGCAAUGGACGCAAGCCUGAUCCAGCAACGCCGCGUGAGGGAAGAAGGCUUUCGGGUUGUAAACUUCUUUUAUCAGGGACGAAGGAAGUGACGGUACCUGAUGAAUAAGCCGCGGCUAACUACGUGCCAGCAGCCGCGGUACUACGUAGGUGGCAAGCGUUCUCCGGAUUUACUGGGUGUAAAGGGCGAGUAGGCGGGAGUGCAAGUCAGAUGUGAAAGCUAUGGGCUCAACCCAUAGAUUGCAUUUGAAACUGUACUUCUUGAGUGCUGGAGAGGCAAGCGGAAUUCCGUGUGUAGCGGUGAAAUGCGUAGAUAUACGGAGGAACACCAGUGGCGAAGGCGGAUUUCUGGACAGUAACUGACGCUGAGGCGCGAAAGCGUGGGUAGCAAACAGGAUUAGAUACCCGUGUAGUC